Long non-coding RNA from Lolium rigidum, 564 nucleotides. RefSeq lists it as uncharacterized. The transcript is spliced from 3 exons. Lineage: Eukaryota; Viridiplantae; Streptophyta; Magnoliopsida; Poales; Poaceae. The record is from RefSeq and is a predicted model, not a curated record.
GACAAGCAACGUUGAUAACAUGCUGUAUUCCUAGAAGAGUUCAGGUUUUCUCAAAAGUAAGAAGGGCCCAGGAUUUUUGUUCCCAUAUGUGGAUAUUGAAUUUCCUGAGGUAUCGUGAAGCAUCGUCUGAGAGAUUUCUCAUUCCCUGUGAUGGGUUCAGCUGGCAAUUCUGUAUAGUAUAUCAGAAGCAGAACAUUGGCCUGAUUAUGAAGAACUUGCAUAAUUUUGUUUAUGUGCAUUAGUUUAACUUUAGUGGAUCUGACCUGCCGCUGCCCAUUAUUCCCUCCCAAGGCAUAAUUAUGAAGAACUUGCACAGAUUGUUAUUAGUGCAACCAACUCAAAAUUGAGAUUGGAGAUACUUCAUUCUUUCAAUGUCAGUUUGGCUGGACAUGUUGGAAAUUAUCUUUGGUCAGAUCUCCCAUUCUCCUCCUUUACCAUGUGUUAUCAUAAGCGUCAGGUUUUAUUUUUCAGUCUGUGGAGAAGGAUGUUAGGACAUACAACACCUUUUAUUAUCAAUCCAGCGUAAAUUGCAUCUCCGAUUUACGUAUGACUUCCAGAUGCAUU